GAUGAACGCUGGCGGCGUGCCUAAUACAUGCAAGUCGAGCGAACAGACGAGGAGCUUGCUCCUCUGACGUUAGCGGCGGACGGGUGAGUAACACGUGGAUAACCUACCUAUAAGACUGGGAUAACUUCGGGAACCCGGAGCUAAUACCGGAUAAUAUAUUGAACCGCAUGGUUCUAUAGUGAAAGACGGUUUUGCUGUCACUUAUAGAUGGAUCCGAGCCGCAUUAGCUAGUUGGUAAGGUAACGGCUUACCAAGGCGACGAUGCGUAGCCGACCUGAGAGGGUGAUCGGCCACACUGGAACUGAGACACGGUCCAGACUCCUACGGGAGGCAGCAGUAGGGAAUCUUCCGCAAUGGGCGAAAGCCUGACGGAGCAACGCCGCGUGAGUGAUGAAGGUCUUCGGAUCGUAAAACUCUGUUAUAAGGGAAGAACAAAUGUGUAAGUAACUAUGCACGUCUUGACGGUACCUAAUCAGAAAGCCACGGCUAACUACGUG
This 497-nucleotide ribosomal RNA is filed under the name uncultured bacterium. Its description in RNAcentral is "partial 16S ribosomal RNA". It matches the Rfam family "Bacterial small subunit ribosomal RNA", at positions 28 to 507 of the family's 1533-position model. The record is from RNAcentral.